This 1713-nucleotide ribosomal RNA is filed under the name Salmonella enterica. Its description in RNAcentral is "partial 23S ribosomal RNA". It matches the Rfam family "Bacterial large subunit ribosomal RNA", at positions 1105 to 2802 of the family's 2925-position model. Lineage: Bacteria; Pseudomonadati; Pseudomonadota; Gammaproteobacteria; Enterobacterales; Enterobacteriaceae. The record is from RNAcentral.
CUUAGAAGCAGCCAUCAUUUAAAGAAAGCGUAAUAGCUCACUGGUCGAGUCGGCCUGCGCGGAAGAUGUAACGGGGCUAAACCAUGCACCGAAGCUGCGGCAGCGACACUCAGGUGUUGUUGGGUAGGGGAGCGUUCUGUAAGCCUGCGAAGGUGGCCUGUGAGGGUUGCUGGAGGUAUCAGAAGUGCGAAUGCUGACAUAAGUAACGAUAAAGCGGGUGAAAAGCCCGCUCGCCGGAAGACCAAGGGUUCCUGUCCAACGUUAAUCGGGGCAGGGUGAGUCGACCCCUAAGGCGAGGCCGAAAGGCGUAGUCGAUGGGAAACGGGUUAAUAUUCCCGUACUUGGUGUUACUGCGAAGGGGGGACGGAGAAGGCUAUGUUGGCCGGGCGACGGUUGUCCCGGUUUAAGCGUGUAGGCUGGUUUUCCAGGCAAAUCCGGAAAAUCAAGGCUGAGGCGUGACGACGAGGCACUACGGUGCUGAAGCAACAAAUGCCCUGCUUCCAGGAAAAGCCUCUAAGCAUCAGGUAACACGAAAUCGUACCCCAAACCGACACAGGUGGUCAGGUAGAGAAUACCAAGGCGCUUGAGAGAACUCGGGUGAAGGAACUAGGCAAAAUGGUGCCGUAACUUCGGGAGAAGGCACGCUGACAUGUAGGUGAAGUGAUUUACUCAUGGAGCUGAAGUCAGUCGAAGAUACCAGCUGGCUGCAACUGUUUAUUAAAAACACAGCACUGUGCAAACACGAAAGUGGACGUAUACGGUGUGACGCCUGCCCGGUGCCGGAAGGUUAAUUGAUGGGGUCAGCGCAAGCGAAGCUCCUGAUCGAAGCCCCGGUAAACGGCGGCCGUAACUAUAACGGUCCUAAGGUAGCGAAAUUCCUUGUCGGGUAAGUUCCGACCUGCACGAAUGGCGUAAUGAUGGCCAGGCUGUCUCCACCCGAGACUCAGUGAAAUUGAACUCGCUGUGAAGAUGCAGUGUACCCGCGGCAAGACGGAAAGACCCCGUGAACCUUUACUAUAGCUUGACACUGAACAUUGAGCCUUGAUGUGUAGGAUAGGUGGGAGGCUUUGAAGUGUGGACGCCAGUCUGCAUGGAGCCGACCUUGAAAUACCACCCUUUAAUGUUUGAUGUUCUAACGUGGACCCGUGAUCCGGGUUGCGGACAGUGUCUGGUGGGUAGUUUGACUGGGGCGGUCUCCUCCUAAAGAGUAACGGAGGAGCACGAAGGUUGGCUAAUCCUGGUCGGACAUCAGGAGGUUAGUGCAAUGGCAUAAGCCAGCUUGACUGCGAGCGUGACGGCGCGAGCAGGUGCGAAAGCAGGUCAUAGUGAUCCGGUGGUUCUGAAUGGAAGGGCCAUCGCUCAACGGAUAAAAGGUACUCCGGGGAUAACAGGCUGAUACCGCCCAAGAGUUCAUAUCGACGGCGGUGUUUGGCACCUCGAUGUCGGCUCAUCACAUCCUGGGGCUGAAGUAGGUCCCAAGGGUAUGGCUGUUCGCCAUUUAAAGUGGUACGCGAGCUGGGUUUAGAACGUCGUGAGACAGUUCGGUCCCUAUCUGCCGUGGGCGCUGGAGAACUGAGGGGGGCUGCUCCUAGUACGAGAGGACCGGAGUGGACGCAUCACUGGUGUUCGGGUUGUCAUGCCAAUGGCACUGCCCGGUAGCUAAAUGCGGAAGAGAUAAGUGCUGAAAGCAUCUAAGCACGAAACUUGCCCCGA